Molecule: transfer RNA, 73 nt
Filed under: Sus scrofa (pig)
Lineage: Eukaryota; Metazoa; Chordata; Mammalia; Artiodactyla; Suidae
Rfam family: tRNA
About the family: Transfer RNA (tRNA) molecules are approximately 80 nucleotides in length. Their secondary structure includes four short double-helical elements and three loops (D, anti-codon, and T loops).
Source: Rfam by way of RNAcentral
UCCUUGGUGGCCCAGUAGUUAAGAACUGAGCAUUGUCACUGCUGUGGCUCAGGUUCAAGCCCUGGCCUGGGAA